This 1659-nucleotide long non-coding RNA is filed under the name Phasianus colchicus (ring-necked pheasant). RNAcentral's name for it is "lncRNA (ENSPCLG00000015106.1)". Lineage: Eukaryota; Metazoa; Chordata; Aves; Galliformes; Phasianidae. The record is from RNAcentral.
AGCACCAUUAAUUGCUCCGUGGCUCCUCCAGGAAGCUGCUGUGAGCACAGCUGUGUUUGGAGCUGCAGCAUCACGCGGUGCAGCCAUUGCAGCCACAGACCCCGGUGGGGAUCGGGUGCACAAGGGGGGGGUCUGCAAUCACCAGCUGCAAUUCCAGCUGCAAGCUGCACUUCUUUGCACGGCCUUUGGGCUGGGAGCAGCUGCAUCUGUGUGCAGCUGCAAUUGCAGUUUGCAGGGGCUGUUGCACUUUGCAGAGCCUGUUGUUAUUUGCAGCUGCAAUUGCAGUUUGCAGGGGCUGUUUUUGUUUGCAGCUGCAAGUGCAGCUUGCAAGGGCUGUUUUUAUUUGCAACUGCAAUUGCAGUUUGCAGGGCUGUUGCACUUUGGAGACCCUGUUGUUGUUUGCAGCUGCAAUUCCAGUCUGCAAGGGCUGUUGUUGUUUGCAGUGCAAUUGCAGUUUGCAGGGGCCGCUGCACUUUGCAGAGCCUGUUGUUGUUUGCAGCUGCAAUUCCAGUUUGCAAGGGCUGUUGCAGAUGCAGAUUGCAGGGGCUGUUGUUGUUUGCAGGUGCAAUUGCAGUUUGCAAGGGCUAUUUUUGUUUGUGGGUGCAAUUGCAGCUUUGCAGGGGCUGUUGCAAUUUGCAGAGCCUGUUGUUUUUUGCAGGUGCAAUUCCAGUUUGCAAGGGCUGUUUUUGUUUGCAGCUGCAAUUGCAGUUUGCAGUGGCUGUUGCACUUUGCAGAGCCUGCUGUUGUUUGCAGCUGCAAUUCCAGUUUGCAAGGGCUGUUGCAGAUGCAGCUUGCAGGGGCUGUUGCACUUUGCAGCUGCAAUUCCAGUUUGCAAGGGCUGUUGUUGUUUGCAGCUGCAAUUGCAGUUUGCAGGGGCUGUUGCAGAUGCAACUUGCAGGGUCUGCUGUUUGCAGGUGCAAUUGCAGUUUGCAACCGCAGUGUCUGUGUUCAGGUGCAGUUGCAGUUUGCAGGUGCAGCUCUCUUUGCAGUUCCAGUUGCAGUUUGCAGAUGCAAUCACUGCGUGCAGAUCCAAUUGUAGCUGCACUUGCAGUUGCAAUUAGGGCAGUUGCUGUGUGCAGGUGCAGCUGCAGUUCCAGAUGCAGUUGCAGCUGCAAUUCCACUUCCAGUUGCAUUUGCAAUUGCAGUUCUGAAUACAAUUGCAGUUGCAGAUGCAUUUGCAAUUGCAAUUCCAGUUGCAGUUCCAGUUGCAAUUUGGAAUUGCAGUUCCAGUUCCAGAUGCAAUUGCAGUUGCAAUUCCAGUUGCAGUUGCAAUUGCAGUUCCGGAUGCACUUCCAGUUGCAGUUUGGAAUUGCAGUUGCAGUUGAAGCUGCGAUUGCAAUUCCACUUGCAGUUGCAAUUGCAGACCCGGAUGCCAUUGCAGUUCACUGCAAAAAAGGGUUGCAUUGCAAAGAUAGAACAGGAUGCAUUGCAAAAACGGAAUGCAUUGCAAAGAUGGAAGAGGAUGUGUUGCAAAAAUGGGAUGCAUUGCAAAAAUGGGAUGCAUUGCAAAGAUGGAAGGGGCUGCAUUGCAAAAAAGGGCUGCAUUGCAAAAAUGGGAUGCAUUGCAAAAAUGGGAUGCAUUGCAAAAAUGGGAUGCAUUACAAAAAAGAGCUGCAUUGCAAAGAUACGAUGGGAUGCAUUGCAAAAAUAGAUGUGUAG